CAAUUUAUGAACUAACUUUCAAUGCAAUCUAGACCAAUGAUGUAAAUAAAAAACUAGAUGUCUAACUUCGGGUUCCGAGAUGAGGAAAACUUCUGGUUUGGCAGCCAUUUUUAAUUGAGGCAUAACAACAAUUUUUUUUUCAAAACGAAAGUGCGUGUGUGUGCCGUGCUAGUAGUAAAUGGGUAGGUCUUGUGUGGCAUAUGCCUAUACAAACCGUUAUAAAAAAGGUAGUAACAUUCAUUUCCACAGAUUUCCCAUCGAAAAUUAUGAACUGUGUAAAGCCUGGACAGUUGAAUUACGAAGAGACAAUUUUACCCCUACAAAACACUCCCAUGUUUGCAGUAGUCAUUUCAUGCCUUCUGACUAUAUGUCUAGAGAUGGUAUAAAUGAUCUGAAACCUCGUCUAAAACCAAAUGCUGUACCUUCGAUAUUUGAUUUCCCAGAGAGAUUGAAGAAAGUAUUAAAGCCCAGAAAGCCUUCUGUCGAACGAAAGCCUGCUAAAAGAAAACUUGAUGAAGUACGCGAUGAAAACAUACCAGAUAGCGAAAUCCCCCAACCUCCUACAAAAAUACUGAAGCCUGCACCAUCACCAACUAAGAAAAAGUUGAGACGAAAAAUCAAAACGUUAAAUCAAAAACUAAAACGCAGAGAAAAAGAAAUUGAAAACUUGAAUGAUUUGGUUAAUAACCUGAAAGAAAAGGGUCUGCUAUCUGAGGACUGUUGUAGCAUUAUUGCAAAACAUUUUUCAGGAAUUACAAAGGAGCUGAUAAAGUCUCAACUAGAUAACCACAACAGAAAGGUUAAUGGCAAGAGAUAUAAUAACGAAGUAAAAAAAUUUACUUUAACUCUUCAUUUUUACUCGCCAAGAGCUUACGAUUUUCUGAGAACAACUUUAUCCUUGGCUAAAUGUGUUAUAGACUAGGCUCAAAUCAUUAAAUUUAACACCAGAAUCUGUGAAGUUUCUGUGUGGAAACAGGCCUGUAAGAUUGACAAAAUUCUAUCGAAUUCUACUUUUGUUAUUUUCUUUACAUCGGCGCCAUUUUUAAUCAUCUCAAUGCAAAUGCAUGUUAGCGGUUAUUGUUCAUUUCUUUCAUCUGGGUUAUUGAGGCGUAAAAAAGGUAUUCUCACGCAUGCGUAAUAAGAAUAUAUAUAGUUAACAUACAAGCAUUUAUAAACCACAUAGUAUUGCUUUUUUCAGCGAUGCGUACAAUUUCACGGAUAAAAAACUCAAACUACUUUUAGGUCUCUGAGUUUAAGAGAAUAGUUAGCUAUGUUUCUUUACCUAGUUCUGACCUUUUCAUGUAUGUACAUUGUGAGAUAUUUUUUGCUGUUUUUAUUGAAAUCGCCACAUCAAAAAGUAAGAGCUGGCUAUCAAGAGGAUUUAAUAUUUCCCUUUG
Molecule: RNA transcript, 1397 nt
Organism: Hydractinia symbiolongicarpus
Lineage: Eukaryota; Metazoa; Cnidaria; Hydrozoa; Anthoathecata; Hydractiniidae
Gene name: DPY30 domain-containing protein 1-like
Exons: 2
Source: RefSeq, a predicted model, not a curated record